RNAcentral lists this ribosomal RNA (465 nucleotides) under Vreelandella stevensii. RNAcentral describes it as "partial 16S ribosomal RNA". It matches the Rfam family "Bacterial small subunit ribosomal RNA", at positions 338 to 795 of the family's 1533-position model. The record is from RNAcentral. Lineage: Bacteria; Pseudomonadati; Pseudomonadota; Gammaproteobacteria; Oceanospirillales; Halomonadaceae.
CCUACGGGGGGCUGCAGUGGGGAAUAUUGGACAAUGGGCGAAAGCCUGAUCCAGCCAUGCCGCGUGUGUGAAGAAGGCCUUCGGGUUGUAAAGCACUUUCAGUGGGGAAGAAAGCCUUGGGGCUAAUACCCUCGAGGAAGGACAUCACCCACAGAAGAAGCACCGGCUAACUCCGUGCCAGCAGCCGCGGUAAUACGGAGGGUGCGAGCGUUAAUCGGAAUUACUGGGCGUAAAGCGCGCGUAGGCGGUCUGAUAAGCCGGUUGUGAAAGCCCCGGGCUCAACCUGGGAACGGCAUCCGGAACUGUCAGGCUAGAGUGCAGGAGAGGAAGGUAGAAUUCCCGGUGUAGCGGUGAAAUGCGUAGAGAUCGGGAGGAAUACCAGUGGCGAAGGCGGCCUUCUGGACUGACACUGACGCUGAGGUGCGAAAGCGUGGGUAGCAAACAGGAUUAGAUCCCCCGGUAGUC